UACUGCAUCAGGAACUGAUUGGAUGAUGUAGAGGGGCCAUCAGUUCUUGAUGCAUUGCC
This 59-nucleotide microRNA precursor is filed under the name Lepisosteus oculatus (spotted gar). Its description in RNAcentral is "Loc-Mir-217_pre stem-loop". Lineage: Eukaryota; Metazoa; Chordata; Actinopteri; Semionotiformes; Lepisosteidae. The record is from RNAcentral.